This 405-nucleotide ribosomal RNA is filed under the name Bellamya rubicunda. RNAcentral describes it as "SSU rRNA". It matches the Rfam family "Eukaryotic small subunit ribosomal RNA", at positions 17 to 401 of the family's 1831-position model. RNAcentral also lists the same sequence under 14 other names. The record is from RNAcentral. Lineage: Eukaryota; Metazoa; Mollusca; Gastropoda; Architaenioglossa; Viviparidae.
CCAGUAGUCAUAUGCUUGUCUCAAAGAUUAAGCCAUGCAUGUCUAAGUUCACACCCUCGUACGGUGAAACCGCGAAUGGCUCAUUAAAUCAGUCGAGGUUCCUUAGAUGAUCCAUUUCUACUUGGAUAACUGUGGUAAUUCUAGAGCUAAUACAUGCCCAACAGCUCCGACCCCGGGCUUCGCGGUUCGGGGAAAGAGCGCUUUUAUUAGUUCAAAACCAGUCGGGGGUUUCGGCCCUCGUGCUUUGGUGACUCUGGAUAACUUUGAGCCGAUCGCAUGGCCUCGAGCCGGCGACGCAUCUUUCAAAUGUCUGCCCUAUCAAAUGACGACGGUACGUGAUCUGCCUACCGUGUUGACUACGGGUAGCGGGGAAUCAGGGUUCGAUUCCGGAGAGGGAGCAUGAGA